Molecule: non-coding RNA, 54 nt
Organism: Salmo salar (Atlantic salmon)
Lineage: Eukaryota; Metazoa; Chordata; Actinopteri; Salmoniformes; Salmonidae
Source: Rfam
UGCAUUCACUACUGUAAGUCACUCUGGAUAAGAGCGUCUACUAAAUGACUAAAA